Non-coding RNA from Dipodomys ordii (Ord's kangaroo rat), 74 nucleotides. NCBI's taxonomy places the organism in Eukaryota, Metazoa, Chordata, Mammalia, Rodentia, Heteromyidae. The record is from Rfam.
GGAAAUGUGGCUUAGUGGUAGAGUGCCUGCCUAGCAUGCAUGAAGCCCUUGGGUUCAAUUCCUCAGUAUCUCUU